UACGAAGGGUGCUAGCGUUGUUCGGAAUCACUGGGCGUAAAGCGUGCGUAGGCGGCUUUGCAAGUCAGGGGUGAAAUCCCGGGGCUCAACCCCGGAAUUGCCUUUGAAACUGCAUGGCUGGAGUGUCGGAGGGGAUAGCGGAAUUCCUAAUGUAGUGGUGAAAUACGUAGAUAUUAGGAGGAACACCGGUGGCGAAGGCGGCUAUCUGGACGACAACUGACGCUGAGGAACGAAAGCGUGGGGAUCAAACAGG
RNAcentral lists this ribosomal RNA (253 nucleotides) under uncultured bacterium. Its description in RNAcentral is "partial 16S ribosomal RNA". It matches the Rfam family "Bacterial small subunit ribosomal RNA", at positions 524 to 776 of the family's 1533-position model. The record is from RNAcentral.